Molecule: small nucleolar RNA, 107 nt
Organism: Rhinolophus ferrumequinum (greater horseshoe bat)
Lineage: Eukaryota; Metazoa; Chordata; Mammalia; Chiroptera; Rhinolophidae
Source: Ensembl
AUCCUUUUGUAGUUCAUAAGUGUGAUGACUGGGUGUUCACACUAGAUGUGCCUCUCUCAAAUCUUGCAAGUUCCUUGUUACGAGAUCGGCACAUUACCCAUCUGACA